Molecule: ribosomal RNA, 588 nt
Filed under: Panthera onca (jaguar)
Lineage: Eukaryota; Metazoa; Chordata; Mammalia; Carnivora; Felidae
Description: partial 16S ribosomal RNA
Source: RNAcentral
GCGGGAAUAUGACAAUAAGACGAGAAGACCCUAUGGAGCUUUAAUUAACCGACCCAAAGAGAUCUUGAUAAUCAACCGACAGGGAUAACAUACCUCUACCAUGGGCCGACAAUUUAGGUUGGGGUGACCUCGGAGAAUAAAACAACCUCCGAGUGAUUUAAAUCUAGACUAACUAGUCGAAAGUACUACAUCACUUAUUGAUCCAAAAACUUGAUCAACGGAACAAGUUACCCUAGGGAUAACAGCGCAAUCCUAUUUUAGAGUCCAUAUCGACAAUAGGAUUGCGCUGUUAUCCCUAGGGUAACUUGUUCCGUUGAUCAAGUUUUUGGAUCAAUAAGUGAUGUAGUACUUUCGACUAGUUAGUCUAGAUUUAAAUCACUCGGAGGUUGUUUUAUUCUCCGAGGUCACCCCAACCUAAAUUGUCGGCCCAUGGUAGAGGUAUGUUAUCCCUGUCGGUUGAUUAUCAAGAUCUCUUUGGGUCGGUUAAUUAAAGCUCCAUAGGGUCUUCUCGUCUUAUUGUCAUAUUCCCGCCUCUUCACGGGAAGGUCAAUUUCACGGAUUGGAAGUAAGAGACAGUAAAGCCCUCGA